UAGGGAAUCUUCGGCAAUGGGGGGAACCCUGACCGAGCAACGCCGCGUGAGUGAAGAAGGUUUUCGGAUCGUAAAGCUCUGUUGUUAAGGAAGAACGAGUGUGAGAAUGGAAAGUUCAUGCUGUGACGGUACUUAACCAGAAAGGGACGGCUAACUACGUGCCAGCAGCCGCGGUAAUACGUAGGUCCCGAGCGUUGUCCGGAUUUAUUGGGCGUAAAGCGAGCGCAGGCGGUUAGAAAAGUCUGAAGUGAAAGGCAGUGGCUCAACCAUUGUAGGCUUUGGAAACUGUUUAACUUGAGUGCAGAAGGGGAGAGUGGAAUUCCAUGUGUAGCGGUGAAAUGCGUAGAUAUAUGGAGGAACACCGGUGGCGAAAGCGGCUCUCUGGUCUGUAACUGACGCUGAGUCUCGAAAGCGUGGGGAGCGAACAGG
RNAcentral lists this ribosomal RNA (429 nucleotides) under Bacteroidota bacterium. Its description in RNAcentral is "Bacteroidetes bacterium partial 16S ribosomal RNA". It matches the Rfam family "Bacterial small subunit ribosomal RNA", at positions 355 to 776 of the family's 1533-position model. The record is from RNAcentral. Lineage: Bacteria; Pseudomonadati; Bacteroidota.